GGACCUCAGAAAAGCUGUUCAUUUUGUUCUUGCGCUUGGCAGAGCAGUUUUGAAGCAGAGGAUGAACUCCUACAGCAAGUACACCAAUGACGAGCCUCCAAGGGUGACGGCAUUCAUGGAUAACAUUCCAGAACCCAAGAGCUCUGCUGGGAGAAGGUCUUUGUACAGAAAGGCUUCACUGAUCUUUGUCUCUCUGUGGCUCAUCACUCUGAUCACACUCAUCGUUGGACUGGUCCUCUACUGUGGUCAGAGAUCAGCAAUACAGAGUGAGCUGGAGGCUCUGAAGCAUGGCCCUUCCAUGGAAAUUGGAGGUAA
Molecule: long non-coding RNA, 315 nt
Organism: Conger conger (European conger)
Lineage: Eukaryota; Metazoa; Chordata; Actinopteri; Anguilliformes; Congridae
Exons: 3
Source: RefSeq, a predicted model, not a curated record